RNAcentral lists this ribosomal RNA (133 nucleotides) under Castor canadensis (American beaver). Lineage: Eukaryota; Metazoa; Chordata; Mammalia; Rodentia; Castoridae. The record is from RNAcentral.
UACGGCCACACCACCCUGAACGCGCCCGAUCUCGUCUGAUCUCGGAAGCUAAGCAGGGUCGGGCCUGGUUAGUACUUGGAUGGGAGAAGAAGCCUCUUCAACAAAAACUGCUGGGAAAACUGGUUAACCAUCU